This 435-nucleotide ribosomal RNA is filed under the name uncultured bacterium. Its description in RNAcentral is "bacterial SSU rRNA". It matches the Rfam family "Bacterial small subunit ribosomal RNA", at positions 958 to 1392 of the family's 1533-position model. The record is from RNAcentral.
AACGCGAAGAACCUUACCAAGGCUUGACAUAUACGAGAACGGGCCAGAAAUGGUCAACUCUUUGGACACUCGUAAACAGGUGGUGCAUGGUUGUCGUCAGCUCGUGUCGUGAGAUGUUGGGUUAAGUCCCGCAACGAGCGCAACCCUCGUUCUAUGUUGCCAGCACGUAAUGGUGGGAACUCAUGGGAUACUGCCGGGGUCAACUCGGAGGAAGGUGGGGAUGACGUCAAAUCAUCAUGCCCCUUAUGUCUUGGGCUUCACGCAUGCUACAAUGGCCGGUACAAAGGGCUGCAAUACCGUAAGGUGGAGCGAAUCCCAAAAAGCCGGUCCCAGUUCGGAUUGAGGUCUGCAACUCGACCUCAUGAAGUCGGAGUCGCUAGUAAUCGCAGAUCAGCAACGCUGCGGUGAAUACGUUCCCGGGUCUUGUACACACCG